This 231-nucleotide unclassified non-coding RNA is filed under the name plant metagenome. RNAcentral describes it as "partial contains small subunit ribosomal RNA, internal transcribed spacer 1, and 5.8S ribosomal RNA". The record is from RNAcentral.
UCUCCGUUGGUGAACCAGCGGAGGGAUCAUUACAGAGUUGCAAAACUCCCAAACCAUUGUGAACGUUACCUUUCCCGUUGCUUCGGCGGGCGGCCCGGGCCCCGCGCCCGGCGCCACCCGGCCCCCCGUGGGCGCCCGCCGGAGGUAAACCAAACCCUUGAAUUGCAUGGCCUCUCUGAGUCCUCUGUACUGAAUAAGUCAAAACUUUCAACAACGGAUCUCUUGGUUCUG